CCUGCAAUGUCAAUCAGAAAUAAUGGACACAUUAUCAUUCAUCUUAAUGAGAGGUUAUAAUCUAGUUAUCUCCAUAACUAGCUCAUUUUAUGGACCUAAUAAUUUAGAAGAUUUAAGAAUUAAUUUAGAGAAGAGAUGCAAAGAGAUCAACCAGUAAACCAUAAUCCUCCCACUGACUUCACUAAGUCAUUGAAUUGGAUCAAGAUCAU
This 209-nucleotide long non-coding RNA is filed under the name Elaeis guineensis (African oil palm). RNAcentral describes it as "long non-coding RNA (EGUI_LNC075875)". Lineage: Eukaryota; Viridiplantae; Streptophyta; Magnoliopsida; Arecales; Arecaceae. The record is from RNAcentral.